UAUGGCGACCGGCGUACGGGUGAGUAACACGUAUCCAACCUGCCGAUGACUCGGGGAUAGCCUUUCGAAAGAAAGAUUAAUACCCGAUGGCAUAGUUCUUCCGCAUGGUAGAACUAUUAAAGAAUUUCGGUCAUCGAUGGGGAUGCGUUCCAUUAGGUUGUUGGCGGGGUAACGGCCCACCAAGCCUUCGAUGGAUAGGGGUUCUGAGAGGAAGGUCCCCCACAUUGGAACUGAGACACGGUCCAA
RNAcentral lists this ribosomal RNA (246 nucleotides) under uncultured bacterium. RNAcentral describes it as "partial 16S ribosomal RNA". It matches the Rfam family "Bacterial small subunit ribosomal RNA", at positions 87 to 334 of the family's 1533-position model. The record is from RNAcentral.